UACGGGGGGGGCAAGCGUUGUUCGGAAUUACUGGGCGUAAAGGGUUUGUAGGUGGCUUGUUAAGUCAGACGUGAAAUCCCUCAGCUUAACUGGGGAACUGCGUCUGAGACUGGUCGGCUCGAGUGCAGGAGAGGAACGCGGAAUUCCAGGUGUAGCGGUGAAAUGCGUAGAUAUCUGGAGGAACACCGGUGGCGAAGGCGGCGUUCUGGACUGCAACUGACACUGAGGAACGAAAGCCAGGGGAGCAAACGGG
RNAcentral lists this ribosomal RNA (253 nucleotides) under uncultured bacterium. RNAcentral's name for it is "partial 16S ribosomal RNA". It matches the Rfam family "Bacterial small subunit ribosomal RNA", at positions 524 to 776 of the family's 1533-position model. The record is from RNAcentral.